GCUUGGGAAUCUACCUAGUAGUGGGGACAACAGUUGGAAACGACUGCUAAUACCGCAUACGCCCUACGGGGGAAAGGGGGAGGUACUUCCGUACCGUCCUUGUCUAUUGGUAGUGAGCCCAACGUACGGAGUUAGUCUAGUUGGUUGGGGUAAGGUAGGCCCGACCCAAACGGACGGACGAUCCGUAGCUGGUUUGUAGAGGAGUGAUCAGCCACACUGGGACGUGAGACACGGCCCACGACUCCUACGGGAGGGCAGCAGUGGGGAAGUAAUUGCACAAUAGGGCGGAAAGACCUGAUG
RNAcentral lists this ribosomal RNA (300 nucleotides) under uncultured bacterium. RNAcentral's name for it is "bacterial SSU rRNA". It matches the Rfam family "Bacterial small subunit ribosomal RNA", at positions 116 to 388 of the family's 1533-position model. The record is from RNAcentral.